This 292-nucleotide long non-coding RNA is filed under the name Manihot esculenta (cassava). RNAcentral's name for it is "long non-coding RNA (MESC_LNC008595)". The record is from RNAcentral. Lineage: Eukaryota; Viridiplantae; Streptophyta; Magnoliopsida; Malpighiales; Euphorbiaceae.
CUGAGUGCCUCCUUGGGACUCUCCCAUUCCCUCUUCCGACAUACUCACUCCUAAACUGCCAUCCCUCCUCUGAUCCACAUCCAUCUGAUCCCCCACAUCCUCUGACAUAUCACCUUGCAUUGUUCCCCUUACUGAUCUGCUUCUACCCAGAUCCAAAGACCUUCUAGGGUCUCUUACUGUUCUUUCUCUAUUGGACCUACUUGACAUUGCCCUAGGCAAUGCAGGAGGACGGGCAUCAAUGCCCUCGUCCUGGGGUGGUACUCCAGUCAAUCGUACAGAUCGACGAGUUCCU